UUGAUUCAAGAGUCUUUCUCUCCUUAUCCCCCGAGCAUUUCGGUCCCUCGUGAUUCGACUUCUCUUUCUGUAGCUUAGUAUAGUAAGGUGAGCACCGAAGCGCUGCACGAAUCUUUCUUAGAAAGAUUCAGCGACGAAGUUCUGCCCCUGCAGAGCCCGACUCCUAGCUAAAACCCCCUUGUAAGUUUCGUCGAAGGAAAAUAGAAUCGUUAGAAGCAAGCGCUGCCCGAUUUUGGAAUCAUCACCUUAACAAGUAGUGGCGCAUGAGCAUAGGUGUGAUGUUUUGGACGAGGGAUUACGAAUAUAGGCCUGUAGAUAUGGAAUAAUGUAAUAAGCAUGUCGUAUCGUACUACCGGACCAAGGUGGUUGGACUAAGUUGACACUGCAUGCCCGAGACGGCUGAAUCGGGACGAAAGUGUUGGGAAGAAGCACAAGAAGGGUGGUACAUUAGCAGAACAUAUUUUACCAAU
Non-coding RNA from Lactuca sativa (garden lettuce), 470 nucleotides. Lineage: Eukaryota; Viridiplantae; Streptophyta; Magnoliopsida; Asterales; Asteraceae. The record is from RefSeq and is a predicted model, not a curated record.